ACGAGUCAUACCAUCCAUCAUAUAAUCAAUGAAAAGAGGGAAAGCGGCACCACCUGCGGAACGAACCAUUGUUUUAGCAGCCAAUGCUGACGCACAGUAAUUUUGAUAUACAUCGAUAAGAUAAUUGUUGGCACUAAAGUAAAACAACACCAUACCAUAACCGAAAGGAGCACCACUAAAAGCAGGACCAAUCCAAAUAAGUCUGGGGAAACUUGUCCAUGCAAAAAUCAAAAGACCAGUAGGAAUGAAAGGAGAAGCGAUACACAUACCGACCAAACGCCAUUCAGGAACAGACUUACCAUUGUUUGCAUCUAACUUGGCCAUAUAUUGUUUUUCAAGGAAGGGAGUAGUACUCAAAGCACCGACGACACCUACCAAAAUGGGAAUAAACAUCAAGCCAGUAAUACCCUCGUUGUAACCCUUACCCUUGACAAACACGUUGGGAUAUGCAAAGAAAUAACCAUACAACAGGGCAUAAAUCAAGGCAAUAUAACCAGAAAUACAAACAAGAAUGGGUUCGGUAAGUAGAAGGGUAAGGGGACGCGUAAGGUUAACUUGAACGAUUUCUUUGAAGGAAAGCAUUUGUUUCUCUUGGGCGGUAAACACUUGACGACCUGUUUCCUUACGAAUCCUUUGAGCACGCCAACGCAAAAGUACAGGGGCAUAAGUUUCAGGAACGGGAAGCAAAGUAAGAUACAUGACAAACAUGUAGAUCAUGUUGACCCAGAAAAUCCAACGGAAAUCACCAGUACCGACACCAAUCCAACCACCUACUAAUGGACCAAGAGUAGGGCCGGCAUAAGGACCAGCGGCAAAGAAAGCAAUAGCCAGACCACGUUCACGAGUUUCCCAGACAUCCGAAAUUACACCACCAGCCAAGGUAAGAGGUGUGCAGCCAAAGCAACCACAGAAGAAACGAACGAUAAGCAAACAAGCGAUAUUUGGAGCCAAAGCACAAGGGAUUUGCAAAACAAUAUAAAUCAUCAAAGUAACCAAAUAAACAAUACGACGACCAAUCAUUUCACUUAGAGGCGAAAUAACCAAGGGACCGAUACCAAAACCGACGACCAUCAAAGAACAAGAUAAGUUAGCAACUUCAGGGCCGACUUUCAAAUCACGACUAACAUCCUCAAGAUCACCAGCAAUAACGGAAGAACCAAAAGCACUACAAACGACAAGUAAGGAGUUUACAAUAGUAA
Schizosaccharomyces pombe (fission yeast) is the source of this 1199-nucleotide non-coding RNA. The record is from the annotation of a GenBank genome assembly. NCBI's taxonomy places the organism in Eukaryota, Fungi, Ascomycota, Schizosaccharomycetes, Schizosaccharomycetales, Schizosaccharomycetaceae.